ACUCGAUAAUCCACGAAUACCCAACCUUCUUUUGAUAUUUCAGCAUGUGUACUGCCGUUGUAAGCAUACCUCUAAAAGAAUAGUAUGCCACUAUGAUUAUAACUAGCUCAUAUACAUCAGGUCAAAGUGCAGCUAAUAAGAAGGUGAUGAUGGGUUACAACCCUAAACCAGACUAUCGACUAAGAAAUAAAAAAUCUUACGAAAGUGGACUUGGCUGUAAUCAACUUACAAGUUAAAAAAAUGAAUACAAAUCUAAGACAUGCACACAUCGCCCGUCACUCUAUCCUAAAGGUUAGAUAAGUCGUAACAAAGUAGGUGUAAUGGAAAUUGCACCUGUCGAAGUAUAGCAUAUAUAAUGCUUUUUACUUACACUAAAAAUAAAGUUAACCAACUUACUUCGCCCACAAAAAUAAAUCUUAUAAUAGACCAAUAAUAGAAACAAUUAAAUAACCUAACUAUCAUAAAGUACAGAAAUGGAAACAAUAACUAAUAAAAGUAAAUUUUAACAAAUGUACCUUGUGCAUUAUGGUUUUACAAGAAAACAAUUAAAAAUAUAAAUCCCGAAUUCUAAAUGAGAUGUUAAACUGCUGUCAAGAACCCACUAAUAACUGUAGAACAAGUUUUAAUAGACAGUUUAACAGAGGCUACAUACCAUACGCAUAAGAAUAUAGCUGGUUUUCAACAAACAUUAUAUAUUAAAACAUAUAAUUAUAUUAUAGUGUAAUACUACUGAGGAUAAGCCCAAUAGUCUAAACAAUACUAACAUAGACCUGUACAUAUUUAAUAGGCCUAAAAUCAGCCAACUAAAAUACUUUAUCGUAACACAUAAUGGUAAAAUGUGUAACUCCCAUAUGUAAAAAAUAGUUGAAAUAAUGGAUAAAUCAACUACCCCAAAUUUAAUAUGUAAAAAUAAGUAUUAUAAAAUCACCUCCGUAAUAAUCUAGAAUAUAGCAAUAGCUUUAAGAAUAAUAAUUAAUUAAGGAACUCGGCAAACCCCUAUUUCGACUGUUUAACAAAAACAUUGUCUCAUGAAUAAAAUAUGAGAUAAUACCUG
RNAcentral lists this ribosomal RNA (1054 nucleotides) under Amynthas gracilis. RNAcentral's name for it is "partial 12S ribosomal RNA". Lineage: Eukaryota; Metazoa; Annelida; Clitellata; Crassiclitellata; Megascolecidae. The record is from RNAcentral.